GGGGAUUUAGCUCAGUGGUAGAGCGCUUGCCUAGCAAGCACAAGACCCUGGGUUCGGUCCCCAGCUCUG
Non-coding RNA from Rattus norvegicus (Norway rat), 69 nucleotides. The record is from Rfam. NCBI's taxonomy places the organism in Eukaryota, Metazoa, Chordata, Mammalia, Rodentia, Muridae.